AGUUUGAUCCUGGCUCAGGAUGAACGCUAGCGGCAGGCUUAACACAUGCAAGUCGAGGGGUAACAGGAAGGAGCUUGCUUCUUCGCUGACGACCGGCGCACGGGUGCGUAACACGUAUGCAACUUACCUCUAACAGGGGGAUAGCCCAGAGAAAUCUGGAUUAAUACCCCAUAACAUUGCGGAUUCACCUGAUUCUGCAAUUAAAGCUCCGGCGGUUAGAGAUAGGCAUGCGGCCCAUUAGUUUGUUGGUAAGGUAACGGCUUACCAAGACUACGAUGGGUAGGGGUUCUGAGAGGAUGACCCCCCACACUGGUACUGAGACACGGACCAGACUCCUACGGGAGGCAGCAGUGAGGAAUAUUGGACAAUGGGCGCAAGCCUGAUCCAGCCAUGCCGCGUGCAGGAUGACGGCCCUACGGGUUGUAAACUGCUUUUAUAAGGGAAGAAACUUCCGCUCGUGAGCGGAACUGACGGUACCUUACGAAUAAGCACCGGCUAACUCCGUGCCAGCAGCCGCGGUAAUACGGAGGGUGCAAGCGUUAUCCGGAUUUAUUGGGUUUAAAGGGUCCGUAGGCGGGUCUUUAAGUCAGUGGUGAAAGCCUGCAGCUUAACUGUAGAAUUGCCAUUGAUACUGGAGACCUUGAGUACACUUGAAGUAAGCGGAAUGUGUCAUGUAGCGGUGAAAUGCUUAGAUAUGACCCAGAACACCGAUCGCGAAAGCAGCUUACUAAAUUGUCACUGACGCUGAGGGACGAAAGCGUGGGGAGCGAACAGGAUUAGAUACCCUGGUAGUCCACGCCGUAAACGAUGAUCACUCGAUAUUGGCCUCCGGGCCAGUGUCCAAGCGAAAGUAUUAAGUGAUCCACCUGGGGAGUACGAUCGCAAGAUUGAAACUCAAAGGAAUUGACGGGGGCCCGCACAAGCGGUGGAGCAUGUGGUUUAAUUCGAUGAUACGCGAGGAACCUUACCAGGGCUUAAAUGCAGGACGACCGGUCUGGAAACAGACCUUUCUUCGGACGGUUUGCAAGGUGCUGCAUGGUUGUCGUCAGCUCGUGCCGUGAGGUGUCGGGUUAAGUCCCAUAACGAGCGCAACCCCUAUCUUUAGUUGCCAGCGGGUUAAGCCGGGGACUCUAAAGAAACUGCCAGCGUAAGCUGUGAGGAAGGUGGGGAUGACGUCAAAUCAUCACGGCCCUUACGUCCUGGGCUACACACGUGCUACAAUGGCGGAGACAGUGAGAUGCAAACUCGUGAGGGUGAGCAAAUCUAAAAACUCCGUCUCAGUUCGGAUCGAAGUCUGCAACUCGACUUCGUGAAGCUGGAAUCGCUAGUAAUCGCGUAUCAGCAAUGACGCGGUGAAUACGUUCCCGGGCCUUGUACACACCGCCCGUCAAGCCAUGGAAGCUGGGAGUGCCUGAAGUCGGUUACCGUAAGGAUCCGCCUAGGGCAAAAUCAGUAACUGGGGCUAAGUCGUAACAAGGUAGCCGUACCGGAAGGUGUGGCUGGAUCACCU
This 1510-nucleotide ribosomal RNA is filed under the name uncultured prokaryote. RNAcentral's name for it is "partial 16S ribosomal RNA". It matches the Rfam family "Bacterial small subunit ribosomal RNA". The record is from RNAcentral.